AUUGAACGCUGGCGGCAGGCCUAACACAUGCAAGUCGAGCGAGCGGCGGACGGGUGAGUAAUGUAUGGGGACUGCCCGAUAGAGGGGGAUAACUCCUGGAAACGGUGGCUAAUACCGCAUAUUCUCGGAUAAUCCAUAUGGGAUUAGCUAGUAGGUAGGGUAAUGGCUUACCUAGGCGACGAUCCCCAGCUGGUCUGAGAGGAUGAUCAGCCACACUGGGACUGAGACACGGCCCAGACUCAUACGGAGGCAGCAGUGGGGAAUAUUGCACAAUGGGCGCAAGCCUGAUGCAGCCAUGCCGCGUGUAUGAAGAAGGCCCUCGGGUUGUAAAGUACUUUCAGUCGGGAGGCGUUACCGACAGAAGAAGCACCGGCUAACUCCGUGCCAGCAGCCGCGGUAAUAC
RNAcentral lists this ribosomal RNA (403 nucleotides) under uncultured bacterium. RNAcentral's name for it is "partial 16S ribosomal RNA". It matches the Rfam family "Bacterial small subunit ribosomal RNA", at positions 30 to 526 of the family's 1533-position model. The record is from RNAcentral.